GGACAAUUGGUGGCAUCCCCGGACCUCCACCGUCACAUAUAGUGAGUAUGGCUUACCAAAGCGCACCCCUGCGGUUCCUCACGCAGAACUGCAGAGGGCUCAACAUCCCCGAACGACGGACGCACCUGCUGCGCGAACUGAGGAAAAAGCGCGUCAUGAUCGCUAUGCUUCAAGAAACGCACUUUAAGGAGGGGUCAACCCCUAACUUACGUAAUAGGCACUUCCCUAAUAAUUACUUCUGCAACCACCCGACUGCGCAUAAAUCUGGAGUAGCUACAUUAUUGGCCGCG
Molecule: non-coding RNA, 290 nt
Organism: Pelobates cultripes (western spadefoot toad)
Lineage: Eukaryota; Metazoa; Chordata; Amphibia; Anura; Pelobatidae
Source: the annotation of a GenBank genome assembly